CAAUAUUAUAAAAAUUACAAUAUUGCCAAAAUUCUUAUAUGUUUUCCAAUCAGUUUCAAUUUCCUCACUCCCCUUCUUCUUUAAGGAGCUAAAUAUAACUUUUUCCAACUUCAUUGGAUUGGUAAACGCUCUAGAAUGAGACUGUCUCUCUUAUAUCUACCUUAUGACAGAGGGCGUUUACAAUUACCAAACCUAUUAUGUUAUUUCAGCCCAGAUCAGGGUUAGGGUAGAUCAGGGCAGCUAUGUUUCACUUUACAGCCAGUCAGCCCCCAGCAUGGAUUACUAUUGUGUCCCACUGGAUCUCUAUUGCUAUAGACUUGUACAUGUACUCAUCAGGCAGGAAAAGGUUAAUUAAGCAAACAAAAUACCCAUUUCUGAAAAAUACAAUGAUGAUCUGGCAAAAAACACUUGAUUAUUUGGGAGAAAAGCAACUGCAAAUGGCUUUAUUGAUAGGUUGCUAGGUGAUCUACACGAACUUCCGACGGUAACUGACGGUUGGCUGUUUUGGACAUAGUGCAGAGACUAAGAGAGCGUACGAGUCACGGUUGAGAGGAGAUAACUAAAGAAUACUCCAAUUAAGGUCCAGACAAUCAGUUAGUUAGUGCUCGGUUGAUGAGGGAACAAGCUCUUAUGUUGUGUUCAUGUACAAAGGUUGUUGAAUAAAGAAACGUGAACCAUCAGUUAGAGAGACCAUCUUUUCAACCGGGACGCUACAGCAACAACCUUGUGAUGUUCAUCCAGGUAGAGCAGGAUUUAAACUCUGGUCUGCUAAGGAUAUAGCCAAUGUGUCUGAUCUUUUUCCAGGGAAGGCAUUUAUGUAACUGGAAGAAAUUAAAAACAAACAUGAUAUUCCUUACAAAAUAUUUCUAUAAAUAUCUUCAAGUUCAGAGUUUUAUUUUAGCCAAGCAACACAAUAAUCUUUAUCUACCAUCUUUGUCUUCAUUAGAAGACAUUAUUGUAAGUCACCUAUAUGGUAAAGGAGAGGUGUCUCUUCUUUGCUCCUUGUUUGUCGACAAAUAUUAAAAAUCUUUGACCAAUAUUUCACAAAUAUUAUUAUUUUAUUUUUUAUUUUAUUUCUUUUAUUUUAUCAUGUAAACCCCUUUGAGAUACACAUCUUAUCUUAUUUUCAAGACGGACCUGGGUAGAAGUCUGCAACACACAGCAAUCUGGUUACAAAAUAAAAUUACUUACUGCAUAUGCAGAAGUGUAAAACAGUAGAAAAGAAUUUAAAAACAGUGACACUCUUUAAUAAAAUCUCGUCUGUUUUUAAGAAUCGCUCGAAAUAAGUCCAGUGGAACCAGUUUUGACAUCUUUAUUUCAGACUGGAGCUGAUUGCAGGCCGUAGGAGCCAUCACACUAAAGCUUGCUUCCCUUUUUCAGUUCAGAAAAGUGGAACAUGCAAAAGAAAAAUAUUGUUAAAACGUAAAGAAUGGGAAUUAACAGAUCUAUGUAAAAGAAAGUUUAAGUAUGCUGGAGCCAAGCCGAGUAGAGAUUUAUAAAUCAGGAUCAUGAGGUGACUGUUUCUCAGUAUGCUUAAAGGAGGCCAUUCAGCUUUUGCAUAUAACUCACAAUGAUGCGUGAGACGUCUGCUACUGGUUACAAACCUUAAAGCACAAUGAUAAACAGCAUUUAAUAAUUAAAGGCAUUUGGUCAAAGUAUUUAUAUAUAAAACAUUGGUUAUGUUUUAUAUAUGAAUUAUUAUUAUCCCAGUUGAAUUAUUAUCCCAGCUGAUGCAUCCCUGUAAGCCACAACAUCCAAACAGAAAGGUAGGUGCUCUUUCUUAACAUUUAUAUGUUAAAUAUAAUUUCCAUGAUUAGCUACUUAUUUACAGUCAUAUGUCAGGUCAUAUGUUAAGUAUAAUUUACAUGAGUAUUGAUUGUACAUAAUUACAAAAAGGUGACUGAAAAAUAAUUAAAUUCAAAGCUUUAUUUAUGAUUUAUUUUGGAGAGAGGAAGUCUUAUUUUUCAGAAUGCUUAACAGGAUCUAGUUUUGUCUUUUGCCACUAUUUAGCCUUCUGUUGAUUUCGGUUGCUUGGUUACGAACAGCCGUUGCCGUUGUUCAGCAACUGUACUGUUCCAAAAAAAAAAAAAAAAA
Molecule: long non-coding RNA, 2094 nt
Organism: Poecilia latipinna (sailfin molly)
Lineage: Eukaryota; Metazoa; Chordata; Actinopteri; Cyprinodontiformes; Poeciliidae
Exons: 2
Source: RefSeq, a predicted model, not a curated record